GACGGUCUUGCUGUCACUUAUAGAUGGAUCCGCGCUGCAUUAGCUAGUUGGUAAGGUAACGGCUUACCAAGGCAACGAUGCAUAGCCGACCUGAGAGGGUGAUCGGCCACACUGGAACUGAGACACGGUCCAGACUCCUACGGGAGGCAGCAGUAGGGAAUCUUCCGCAAUGGGCGAAAGCCUGACGGAGCAACGCCGCGUGAGUGAUGAAGGUCUUCGGAUCGUAAAACUCUGUUAUUAGGGAAGAACAUAUGUGUAAGUAACUGUGCACAUCUUGACGGUACCUAAUCAGAAAGCCACGGCUAACUACGUGCCAGCAGCCGCGGUAAUACGUAGGUGGCAAGCGUUAUCCGGAAUUAUUGGGCGUAAAGCGCGCGUAGGCGGUUUUUUAAGUCUGAUGUGAAAGCCCACGGCUCAACCGUGGAGGGUCAUUGGAAACUGGAAAACUUGAGUGCAGAAGAGGAAAGUGGAAUUCCAUGUGUAGCGGUGAAAUGCGCAGAGAUAUGGAGGAACACCAGUGGCGAAGGCGACUUUCUGGUCUGUAACUGACGCUGAUGUGCGAAAGCGUGGGGAUCAAACAGGAUUAGAUACCCUGGUAGUCCACGCCGUAAACGAUGAGUGCUAAGUGUUAGGGGGUUUCCGCCCCUUAGUGCUGCAGCUAACGCAUUAAGCACUCCGCCUGGGGAGUACGACCGCAAGGUUGAAACUCAAAGGAAUUGACGGGGACCCGCACAAGCGGUGGAGCAUGUGG
Molecule: ribosomal RNA, 751 nt
Filed under: Staphylococcus aureus
Lineage: Bacteria; Bacillati; Bacillota; Bacilli; Caryophanales; Staphylococcaceae
Description: bacterial SSU rRNA
Rfam family: Bacterial small subunit ribosomal RNA
Source: RNAcentral